AGGUAUCUAGUCUAAAACAAGACUACUAGUUUCGACUUAGAAAAUCAUGAACAUAACCAUGGUUACCUU
Molecule: transfer RNA, 69 nt
Filed under: Pelomedusa subrufa
Lineage: Eukaryota; Metazoa; Chordata; Testudines; Pelomedusidae
Description: tRNA-Arg
Source: RNAcentral